Non-coding RNA from Pocillopora verrucosa, 951 nucleotides. The record is from RefSeq and is a predicted model, not a curated record. Lineage: Eukaryota; Metazoa; Cnidaria; Anthozoa; Scleractinia; Pocilloporidae.
CGAGAUCGGUUGGUGACAAGGCAACGUCUACACUCCGAUUGCUUUGAAAGGACCGCUUAAAGUUUGUAUGUCAUGCAUGAAAUUAGGAUUGCUCUCCAGAGUUCACAAUGAAAUCUGUCAUUACAAGCGCGGCCUAAGUGUUGGGGUGUCAUGCCGAUGUUUAUUUCUUUCACUUAUGCUUUUCUUUACCUCCGUGUGGGGGGAAAACAGUGUGUUUGUGUUAUCGGAUUAAAAAACCUUUGCCCCUUUAAUAGGCAUUAAAACUGCCACCUGAUUUAUUUAUACAUCUUUGGAGUUCGCUGUCUGUGAAGACAGACCGUGAAAAAGCUAACAGCCUUGAGUUGUCGCAAAAUAAAACCAUACUUCAAUUUCACAACAAAGGUAUGACAACUAUGUCGUGUCCAUUAGGACGCCUCAUAACAUUCUGGCGAACCGGCGGUUAGGCAAAUUGGUUAUUUCUGGUAUUUUAGGAUUAACUAUGGCAUCAAUCAAAAGCGCUUCACGUCGCUAUAGCAUACGUGCGAACGAAGGUUUCUUUGCCAUCCAGCUUGUAGGAACUAUACGUUAUUUGAAGGGCAUUAACAAGCGCUGAAGCUGCAUGAAGACAGUAGCACCGAUAUGGCGGAGAAACAACUGUGAUAUCAGGCAAAUAAGAAUUCCAGUUGGACCAUAAUGGGUUGUUUGGUCUAGGAAUUGGAAGCGAAUCAGAAGGCCGUUUGUUCUCAUGUUACUUCGGAUUUAAGGUUACAACAAUCCACCUUCACUGCUUUCCAAUGCCUAAAGCAACUGCUUGCUGCCAUCAAGAGCCGAGGAAACAGGCCAGCUCAUCAAAAACGAUGACAUUUGAAUCACACAUUAGGAUCACAACGAAAAAGCUACUUGACAUCCAUAAAACCAACACAGUCAGAAAGCGUCUGAAUUGAAUCGAAUAAUAAAGUUUAAAAUAAAGCC